AAAUUGAAGAGUUUGAUCAUGGCUCAGAUUGAACGCUGGCGGCAGGCCUAACACAUGCAAGUCGAACGGUAACAGGAAGCAGCUUGCUGCUUUGCUGACGAGUGGCGGACGGGUGAGUAAUGUCUGGGAAACUGCCUGAUGGAGGGGGAUAACUACUGGAAACGGUGGCUAAUACCGCAUAACGUCGCAAGACCAAAGAGGGGGACCUUCGGGCCUCUUGCCAUCAGAUGUGCCCAGAUGGGAUUAGCUUGUUGGUGAGGUAACGGCUCACCAAGGCGACGAUCCCUAGCUGGUCUGAGAGGAUGACCAGCCACACUGGAACUGAGACACGGUCCAGACUCCUACGGGAGGCAGCAGUGGGGAAUAUUGCACAAUGGGCGCAAGCCUGAUGCAGCCAUGCCGCGUGUAUGAAGAAGGCCUUCGGGUUGUAAAGUACUUUCAGCGGGGAGGAAGGUGUUGUGGUUAAUAACCGCAGCAAUUGACGUUACCCGCAGAAGAAGCACCGGCUAACUCCGUGCCAGCAGCCGCGGUAAUACGGAGGGUGCAAGCGUUAAUCGGAAUUACUGGGCGUAAAGCGCACGCAGGCGGUCUGUCAAGUCGGAUGUGAAAUCCCCGGGCUCAACCUGGGAACUGCAUUCGAAACUGGCAGGCUUGAGUCUUGUAGAGGGGGGUAGAAUUCCAGGUGUAGCGGUGAAAUGCGUAGAGAUCUGGAGGAAUACCGGUGGCGAAGGCGGCCCCCUGGACAAAGACUGACGCUCAGGUGCGAAAGCGUGGGGAGCAAACAGGAUUAGAUACCCUGGUAGUCCACGCCGUAAACGAUGUCUACUUGGAGGUUGUGCCCUUGAGGCGUGGCUUCCGGAGCUAACGCGUUAAGUAGACCGCCUGGGGAGUACGGCCGCAAGGUUAAAACUCAAAUGAAUUGACGGGGGCCCGCACAAGCGGUGGAGCAUGUGGUUUAAUUCGAUGCAACGCGAAGAACCUUACCUGGUCUUGACAUCCACAGAAGAAUCCAGAGAUGGAUUGGUGCCUUCGGGAACUGUGAGACAGGUGCUGCAUGGCUGUCGUCAGCUCGUGUUGUGAAAUGUUGGGUUAAGUCCCGCAACGAGCGCAACCCUUAUCCUUUGUUGCCAGCGGUUAGGCCGGGAACUCAAAGGAGACUGCCAGUGAUAAACUGGAGGAAGGUGGGGAUGACGUCAAGUCAUCAUGGCCCUUACGACCAGGGCUACACACGUGCUACAAUGGCGCAUACAAAGAGAAGCGACCUCGCGAGAGCAAGCGGACCUCAUAAAGUGCGUCGUAGUCCGGAUUGGAGUCUGCAACUCGACUCCAUGAAGUCGGAAUCGCUAGUAAUCGUGGAUCAGAAUGCCACGGUGAAUACGUUCCCGGGCCUUGUACACACCGCCCGUCACACCAUGGGAGUGGGUUGCAAAAGAAGUAGGUAGCUUAACCUUCGGGAGGGCGCUUACCACUUUGUGAUUCAUGACUGGGGUGAAGUCGUAACAAGGUAACCGUAGGGGAACCUGCGGUUGGAUCACCUCCUUACCUUAAAGAA
RNAcentral lists this ribosomal RNA (1552 nucleotides) under Salmonella enterica subsp. enterica serovar Indiana. RNAcentral's name for it is "bacterial SSU rRNA". It matches the Rfam family "Bacterial small subunit ribosomal RNA". The record is from RNAcentral. Lineage: Bacteria; Pseudomonadati; Pseudomonadota; Gammaproteobacteria; Enterobacterales; Enterobacteriaceae.